AGAGUUUGAUCCUGGCUCAGAACGAACGCUGGCGGCAGGCCUAACACAUGCAAGUCGAGCGCUGUAGCAAUACAGAGCGGCAGACGGGUGAGUAACGCGUGGGAACCUUCCCAAUGGUGCGGAAUAGCUCAGGGAAACUUGAGGUAAUACCGCAUAAGCCCGAAAGGGGAAAGAUUUAUCGCCAUUGGAUGGGCCCGCGUUGGAUUAGCUAGUUGGUGGGGUAAUGGCUCACCAAGGCGACGAUCCAUAGCUGGUCUGAGAGGAUGACCAGCCACACUGGGACUGAGACACGGCCCAGACUCCUACGGGAGGCAGCAGUGGGGAAUAUUGGACAAUGGGCGAAAGCCUGAUCCAGCCAUGCCGCGUGAGUGACGAAGGUCUUCGGAUUGUAAAGCUCUUUUGGCGGGGACGAUAAUGACGGUACCCGCAGAAUAAGCCCCGGCUAACUUCGUGCCAGCAGCCGCGGUAAUAC
Molecule: ribosomal RNA, 472 nt
Filed under: uncultured bacterium
Lineage: Bacteria
Description: bacterial SSU rRNA
Rfam family: Bacterial small subunit ribosomal RNA
Source: RNAcentral